This 406-nucleotide ribosomal RNA is filed under the name uncultured bacterium. RNAcentral's name for it is "partial 16S ribosomal RNA". It matches the Rfam family "Bacterial small subunit ribosomal RNA", at positions 30 to 526 of the family's 1533-position model. The record is from RNAcentral.
AUUGAACGCUGGCGGCAGGCCUAACACAUGCAAGUCGAACGAGUGGCGGACGGGUGAGUAAUGUCUGGGAAACUGCCUGAUGGAGGGGUAUAACUUGUGGAAACGGUAGCUAAUCGCGCAUACUAUCGGAUGUGCCCAGAGGGGAUUAGCUAGUCGGGGGGGAAAAGGCUCACCUAGGCGACGAUCCCUAGCUGGUCUGAGAGGAUGACCAGCCACACGGGAACUGAGACACGGGCCAGACUCCUACGGGAGGCAGCAGUGGGGAAUAUUGGACAAUGGGCGAAAGCCUGAUCCAGCCAUGCCGCGUGUGUGAAGAAGGUCUUCGGAUUGUAAAGCACUUUAAGUUGGGAGGCGUUACCAACAGAAGAAGCACCGGCUAACUUCGUGCCAGCAGCCGCGGUAAUAC